RNAcentral lists this unclassified non-coding RNA (225 nucleotides) under plant metagenome. RNAcentral describes it as "partial contains small subunit ribosomal RNA, internal transcribed spacer 1, and 5.8S ribosomal RNA". The record is from RNAcentral.
UCUCCGUUGGUGAACCAGCGGAGGGAUCAUUACAGGACUCGCAAGACUCCUACAACCCUGUGAACUUAACUAUAAGCACGUUGCUUCGGCGGGUGUCUCGGAGGGGGUUCUCCCUCCCCGAGACGCUAAACCCGCCGGCAGCCUACUAUACUCUGUCUCUUUGCGUUGGCAUCUCGAGUACAAUCAAACAAGUUAAAACUUUCAACAACGGAUCUCUUGGUUUUG